RNAcentral lists this transfer RNA (73 nucleotides) under Prevotellaceae bacterium. RNAcentral describes it as "tRNA-Gly". It matches the Rfam family "tRNA". Rfam says of the family: Transfer RNA (tRNA) molecules are approximately 80 nucleotides in length. Their secondary structure includes four short double-helical elements and three loops (D, anti-codon, and T loops). Lineage: Bacteria; Pseudomonadati; Bacteroidota; Bacteroidia; Bacteroidales; Prevotellaceae. The record is from RNAcentral.
GCGGAAAUAGCUCAGUCGGUAGAGCACAACCUUGCCAAGGUUGGGGUCGCGAGUUCGAGUCUCGUUUUCCGCU